UUUAACAAAACUAACAGCUCUUUCAAGAUUAUGCGGUAGGUGGUGCAUGGCCGUUCUUAGUUCGUGAAGUGAUUCGUUCGCCCAAUCGCAUUUCCAAACAACAAACAACUCAGAAUGCUGGGCAAUAGGACGUUUAAAGUGGCUCCUUACACCUUACAAAGGAAUGGCUGAUGAGAAACAACUCGAUCCGCUCAGCGUUCUAUUGGAAUGCAACGGACGUGAUUGCAAGCUUUUGUUUUGAGUUGCGG
This 248-nucleotide ribosomal RNA is filed under the name Globigerinoides sacculifer. RNAcentral's name for it is "partial 18S ribosomal RNA". The record is from RNAcentral. Lineage: Eukaryota; Foraminifera; Rotaliida; Globigerinidae.